GAUUUCGUGGCCUAAUGGAUAAGGCGCUGGUCUACAGAACCAGAGAAUCUGGGUUCGAUCCCCGUUCGAUCC
Molecule: transfer RNA, 72 nt
Filed under: Gossypium arboreum
Lineage: Eukaryota; Viridiplantae; Streptophyta; Magnoliopsida; Malvales; Malvaceae
Rfam family: tRNA
About the family: Transfer RNA (tRNA) molecules are approximately 80 nucleotides in length. Their secondary structure includes four short double-helical elements and three loops (D, anti-codon, and T loops).
Source: Rfam by way of RNAcentral